GUGUGUGGCCAUACCACCCUGAAUGCGCCCAAUCUCGUUUGAUCUCAGAAGCUAAGCAGGGUCAGACCUGGUUAGUACUUGGAUGGGAGACUUUAAGGAUAUGGUAUUGAUGCAAAAU
This 118-nucleotide ribosomal RNA is filed under the name Castor canadensis (American beaver). Lineage: Eukaryota; Metazoa; Chordata; Mammalia; Rodentia; Castoridae. The record is from RNAcentral.